GACGAACGCUGGCGGCGUGCUUAACACAUGCAAGUCGAACGGAAAGGCCCUGCUUGCAGGGUACUCGAGUGGCGAACGGGUGAGUAACACGUGGGUGUUCUGCCCUGCACUUCGGGAUAAGCCUGGGAAACUGGGUCUAAUACCGGAUAGGAGCCAUUCUUAGUGUGAUGGUUGGAAGGUUUUUUCGGUGUAGGAUGAGCUCGCGGCCUAUCAGGUUGUUGGUGGGGUAAUGGCCUACCAAGGCGGCGACGGGUAGCCGGCCUGAGAGGGUGGACGGCCACAUUGGGACUGAGAUACGGCCCAGACUCCUACGGGGGGCAGCAGUGGGGAAUAUUGCACAAUGGGCGCAAGCCUGAUGCAGCGACGCCGCGUGGGGGAUGACGGCCUUCGGGUUGUAAACUCCUUUCGCUAGGGACGAAGCUUUUUGUGACGGUACCUAGAGAAGAAGCACCGGCUAACUACGUG
RNAcentral lists this ribosomal RNA (465 nucleotides) under uncultured bacterium. RNAcentral describes it as "partial 16S ribosomal RNA". It matches the Rfam family "Bacterial small subunit ribosomal RNA", at positions 28 to 507 of the family's 1533-position model. The record is from RNAcentral.